GAUGAAGAACGCAGCGAAAUGCGAUAAGUAGUGUGAAUUGCAGAAUUCAGUGAAUCAUCGAAUCUUUGAACGCACAUUGAGCCCCUUGGUAUUCCAUGGGGCAUGCCUGUUCGAGCGUCAUUUGUACCUUCAAGCUCUGCUUGGUGUUGGGUGUUUGUCUCGCCUCUGCGUGUAGACUCGCCUCAAAACAAUUGGCAGCCGGCGUAUUGAUUUCGGAGCGCAGUACAUCUCGCGCUUUGCACUCAUAACGACGACGUCCAAAAGUACAUUUUUACACUCUUGACCUCGGAUCAGGUAGGGAUACCCGCUGAACUUAAGCAUAUCAAUAAGCGGAGGA
RNAcentral lists this unclassified non-coding RNA (337 nucleotides) under soil metagenome. RNAcentral's name for it is "partial contains 5.8S ribosomal RNA, internal transcribed spacer 2, and large subunit ribosomal RNA". The stretch from base 1 to 120 matches the Rfam family "5.8S ribosomal RNA", at positions 35 to 154 of the family's 154-position model. The record is from RNAcentral.